UUUUUAUGGAGAGUUUGAUCCUGGCUCAGGACGAACGCUGGCGGCGUGCCUAAUACAUGCAAGUCGAGCGAACAGAGAAGGAGCUUGCUCCUUUGACGUUAGCGGCGGACGGGUGAGUAACACGUGGGCAACCUACCUUAUAGUUUGGGAUAACUCCGGGAAACCGGGGCUAAUACCGAAUAAUCUAUUUUACUUCAUGGUGAAAUACUGAAAGACGGUUUCGGCUGUCGCUAUAAGAUGGGCCCGCGGCGCAUUAGCUAGUUGGUGAGGUAACGGCUCACCAAGGCGACGAUGCGUAGCCGACCUGAGAGGGUGAUCGGCCACACUGGGACUGAGACACGGCCCAGACUCCUACGGGAGGCAGCAGUAGGGAAUCUUCCACA
Molecule: ribosomal RNA, 383 nt
Filed under: Lysinibacillus xylanilyticus
Lineage: Bacteria; Bacillati; Bacillota; Bacilli; Caryophanales; Bacillaceae
Description: bacterial SSU rRNA
Rfam family: Bacterial small subunit ribosomal RNA
Source: RNAcentral